This 410-nucleotide ribosomal RNA is filed under the name uncultured bacterium. Its description in RNAcentral is "bacterial SSU rRNA". It matches the Rfam family "Bacterial small subunit ribosomal RNA", at positions 354 to 776 of the family's 1533-position model. The record is from RNAcentral.
GUGGGGAAUAUUGCACAAUGGGCGAAAGCCUGAUGCAGCGACGCCGCGUGGGGGAUGACGGUCUUCGGAUUGUAAACCCCUUUCAGUAGGGACGAAGCGCAAGUGACGGUACCUGCAGAAGAAGCACCGGCUAACUACGUGCCAGCAGCCGCGGUAAUACGUAGGGUGCGAGCGUUGUCCGGAAUUACUGGGCGUAAAGAGCUCGUAGGCGGUUUGUCACGUCGUCUGUGAAAUCCCUCGGCUUAACCGGGGGCGUGCAGGCGAUACGGGCAGACUUGAGUACUACAGGGGAGACUGGAAUUCCUGGUGUAGCGGUGAAAUGCGCAGAUAUCAGGAGGAACACCGGUGGCGAAGGCGGGUCUCUGGGUAGUAACUGACGCUGAGGAGCGAAAGCAUGGGUAGCGAACAGG